AUGGUGAACUUGGUGGAGGCCCAGAAGCCGCUGCUGCACUUCCUGAUCAGAAGGGCCGGGCUCCGGCAGCACACGGUGGACGUGGACGGCGCCGGCACGGCGCUCACCUUCUGGGUGCCCAAGGACAAGCUCCCCAAGGACAAGUCCACCGUGUGCGAGAUCACGCCCGAAGCGGCGGCGCCGGCCUCCAAGAAGAAGAGCAAGACGAAAGCCAAGGCCCCGCGGCCAUCCGUCGUCCUCGUGCACGGCUUCGCGGCCGAAGGCAUUGUCACGUGGCAGUUCCAGGCUGGUGUGCUGGCGAAGCACUACGACGUGUACAUCCCGGACCUGCUCUACUUCGGCGGCUCCACGUCGCCGUCGACGGACCGGUCGCCGGGGUUCCAGGCGGAGUGCCUGGUGGCAGCGCUGGGCAAGCUGGGCGUGGAGAAGUGCACGGUGGUGGGGUUCAGCUACGGCGGGAUGGUGGCCUUCAAGAUGGCCGAGUCGCACCCGGGCCUCGUCCGGUCGCUCGUGGUGUCGGGCUCCGUCGUCGCCAUGACCGACUCCAUCAGCGAGACCACGCUGGAGAGGAUCGGCGUCAAGUCGUCGGCGGAGCUGCUGCUGCCGGACUCCGUCAAGGGGCUCAAGGCGCUGCUCUCCAUCGUCGCCCACAGGAAACUCUGGUUCCCGGAACGCCUUCACAGGGACUACCUCCAGGUGAUGUUCACCAACCGCAAGGAAAGAGCAGAGCUGCUGGAAGGUUUGGUGGUCAGCAACAAAGACGCCACCGUGCCCGUUUUGCCACAGAAAAUACUUCUGCUCUGGGGACACAACGACAACAUUUUCAACAUAGAGCUCGCCAGGACAAUGAAAGAGCAGCUCGGUGAGGAGACGAUGCUGCAGAGCAUAGACAAGGCCGGGCAUCUCGUGCACCUGGAGAGGCCCUGCGUCUACAACCGCCGCCUCUUGGAGUUCCUGGCAUACGUCACUGCUGAAGCUUCCAAAGAGUGA
Molecule: ribosomal RNA, 990 nt
Filed under: Triticum aestivum (bread wheat)
Lineage: Eukaryota; Viridiplantae; Streptophyta; Magnoliopsida; Poales; Poaceae
Description: partial small subunit ribosomal RNA
Source: RNAcentral